This 460-nucleotide ribosomal RNA is filed under the name uncultured bacterium. Its description in RNAcentral is "partial 16S ribosomal RNA". It matches the Rfam family "Bacterial small subunit ribosomal RNA", at positions 338 to 795 of the family's 1533-position model. The record is from RNAcentral.
CCUACGGGUGGCAGCAGUGAGGAAUAUUGGUCAAUGGACGAGAGUCUGAACCAGCCAAGUAGCGUGAAGGAUGACUGCCCUAUGGGUUGUAAACUUCUUUUAUAUGGGAAUAAAGUGUUCCACGUGUGGGAUUUUGUAUGUACCAUAUGAAUAAGGAUCGGCUAACUCCGUGCCAGCAGCCGCGGUAAUACGGAGGAUCCGAGCGUUAUCCGGAUUUAUUGGGUUUAAAGGGAGCGUAGGUGGAUUGUUAAGUCAGUUGUGAAAGUUUGCGGCUCAACCGUAAAAUUGCAGUUGAAACUGGCAGUCUUGAGUACAGUAGAGGUGGGCGGAAUUCGUGGUGUAGCGGUGAAAUGCUUAGAUAUCACGAAGAACUCCGAUUGCGAAGGCAGUUCACUGGACUGUAACUGACACUGAGGCUCGAAAGUGUGGGUAUCAAACAGGAUUAGAUACCCGGGUAGUC